RNAcentral lists this long non-coding RNA (631 nucleotides) under Homo sapiens (human). RNAcentral describes it as "long non-coding RNA NONHSAT183620". The record is from RNAcentral. Lineage: Eukaryota; Metazoa; Chordata; Mammalia; Primates; Hominidae.
AGGUGUGAUGAAAGAGCACCUGGUUCCCUUAGAAUCACAGAAGUAAAGAAGUAGUUGGGAUUCAUCAGAGCAUGCUGUGCCAGCUUCUCAGAUGAGUGUAUCCUUGAAUACCCAGUAUCCAGAGCUUCUCUCUGCAUCCCUUUGACUUUUACCAGUAAGGCUCUUUUCCCUUUACUCAGAAUGAGCAUGCCAACCUUUUUCCAUUUUUUUUCCAAGUCUUGCUAGUAACCUUUUGUGGAACCCACCAGCUAACUCUUCUGAGAAGAGAGAAACUAGAGCUGUCUAUUGCAACUCUCUCAUCUUUCUACUCUGGUCUACAAAGGCUUCUGCAAUCCUACUCAACAUUUCUUUUCUCGGUACAUUUUCUCAGUGGAAAACAUUUCUGCCUUCAAUCCAAGACUAAAUUCUCUGCCUGUGUCCCUGGGCUUCUGUGAUGAGUAUUCUCUCUCCCUAGAACUCCCUUUUCUCACUGCCCUUGUAAUGGAACUCAGCUCCAGUCUUGCCUCCUCUAAGUAGGGUGUCUUCUCUUUUUCUGGGCACCAUUACACACUCAGGAACCUCAAAGGAAUGCAAACCCAUGGCAGCGAUUUCAUCUCCCCUAGCAUGUUAGGUUGGUGUCCUCAUUAGAACU